This 447-nucleotide ribosomal RNA is filed under the name uncultured bacterium. RNAcentral's name for it is "bacterial SSU rRNA". It matches the Rfam family "Bacterial small subunit ribosomal RNA", at positions 355 to 825 of the family's 1533-position model. The record is from RNAcentral.
UCGGGAAUUUUGGGCAAUGGGCGAAAGCCUGACCCAGCAACGCCGCGUGAAGGAUGAAGUAUUUCGGUAUAUAAACUUCGAAAGAAUAGGAAGAAUAAAUGACGGUACUAUUUAUAAGGUUCGGCUAACUACGUGCCAGCAGCCGCGGUAAUACGUAGGGACCAAGCGUUGUUCGGAUUUACUGGGCGUAAAGGGCGCGUAGGCGGCAUGACAAGUCACUUGUGAAAUCUCUGGGCUUAACCCAGAACGGCCAAGUGAUACUGUCGCGCUAGAGUGCAGAAGGGGCAAUCGGAAUUCUUGGUGUAGCGGUGAAAUGCGUAGAUAUCAAGAGGAACACCUGAGGUGAAGACGGGUUGCUGGGCUGACACUGACGCUGAGGCGCGAAAGCUAGGGGAGCAAACGGGAUUAGAUACCCUCGUAGUCCCUGAGCGGGCUGGCAAGGCGCAU